UAGCCUGGGCUCUCAGGCUCCCUUUCUGCUCUGAAGAUGCUUCCUCACCCUGUGCAAGGGGCUUCCUGCAGCACGGCCUUGAGAAUUCUUCUCUCCCAGCUCCUCUCCUUUCCCGCCAUGAAGUCCAAAAGGAAACCUGCCCUGUGGUUUCUCAUCCAGGACAGGGACAGCUUUCUGAUGCUUGUGUGCUGUGGUCCUUGAAUGUGCAACUCUUCCUAGCUCUUCAAAUGCAGGGACAAUGACAAGGAGCUGCCUGAUUGGUACAGUCACUGCUUUUUUCAGUGUCUCUCCACCCUAAAUGCAUCACCAUCUCCCACACUGUGGGUAGAAUUUUAGCCAACUACAUUCUAAUGAUUAUCGCCACAACUUUGGUUUUAGAAAUAACAGUGCAGCGAACAUCCCUAUGCAGCCUCCUUUGAGUUCCUGUGUGAAUAUGACCAUAGGAUUCAUUUCUGAAAGUGAAACUGCGGGUCAGAAAGAUGUGUGCUUGUAAUUUUCUCCCAUUGUUGUCAGACUCCCCUCCAGAGGGGUUCUACCAAUUUACAAUGCCAGUUGUAAAGUACUUGUUCAGAGUACAUUGUUAAAAGUGUAAAUUUCUGCCAACCUGCCAGACUCAAAAACGGUACCUUGUUACAGUUUUACUUUUGAGUCUCCUCUUCUGCUUAAGAUUGGGCCUUUUCAGAAAUAGUUCAGUACAUUUUCUUUUUUAGGAUUUGGUAAACUUUUUCUUAAAUAUCCAGACAAGGGGAAUUUGAGUCUUUGAGGCCAGGCACGGUGGCUCACGCCUGUAAUCCCGAGCACUUUAGAAGAGUAGGACAGGUCAAUUGCUUGCUCCCAGGAGUUGAGAUUAGCCUGGGCCUCACAGUGAACUCUCAUCUCUAUUAAACUAAAGAACAUAAAAAUAAAUUUUAAAAAGAAUUCGUUUGGUCUUUGUGGCUCAAGAAUCAACCUUGGGGAUAUUCCAUAGCAAAUAAAGUGGGAAAUUUGACUUUCCUGAACACCCAGAUGACAACAGGAGAGAGGAGGUGAAACCCCCAAAGCUGUUAUUCUUUAAAUCCUCAGGAUCAAUAGACCUAGAGAAUCACCCACACUUGAGCUCUGUGGCCUCCUAUGAACUGACACAGCCACCCUCAGUGUCAGUGUCUCCAGGACAGACAGCCAGCAUCACCUGCUCUGGAGAUGUACUGAGGGAAAAUUAAGCUGACUGGUACCAGUGGAAGCCAGGCCAGGCCCCGGUGCUGCUGAUAUAUAAAGAUGCACCAGGAAGACUGUGGACCCAGCCAUGAGCAGGUCUGGCCAAGUUCUACUGGAUCUGAGACCUCCAGGCCAUCCUUUUGUCCAGCCCUACAGGUUGGCUCUGCAGAGGGUGGAUCAGGAGUGGAUUUAGGGCUGCUAUAUUCAGACUUUACUGGUGUUUUCGGGCUUUGGGAGUGACUUGGGAACAUAAGAACUGGAUGGAAGAUGAGAGAGGUGUAGAGAAACAUCACUUGGCCUUAGAUUUCCAUACGAUGGUGACUAGGUCACUCCUUCAAAAUAUCCUGUAUCAGUCCCAACAAAUGCCCAGCUCAGUUCAAUACCUGCGGUCCAGUCUUCCAUGGCAGCCUGGAAUUUUGAAGAGGAAAAGCUGAGGAGAGGGCACUGUGGCAUCUGCCUCAAUACCCUUUUCUGAGCUCACCAACCCUCAACUGUUGGGAGCUUCUAGGAGCUCAGGGCUGUGCCCUCACUGGAAAGUGCUAUUGUUUCCAGAAAACUUCCUUCCUCAUAUUUAGGUCCAGUUUUGAGAGUUUUCAUUGAAUGAUGGCCUGGGACCAAGAACCCAAGGCCCUGCCUUAAUACAGGAUGACACUGAAAGUCUUUCCAGCUCGUGACCUCCCAUGGUUGAUGCCUGAGGUGUAAGUUGCAGCCCUAUGAUGGGUCAGGGUAUCCUGCGAGUGGUGCCUUCCUCACUCCAUCCAGGUCAUCUGUGCAUGCAAACCUUUAUCUCAGAGUCUAUUUCCAGGAAACGCAAACUAAGAUGGCCAGCUCUCACCAAAAUGAGCCACCAUAGACCUGAGUAGACCUGAGGUGGCCACUAUACACUGGAAAGCACCAACGAAUUCCCUCAGUUUCAUUGUGAGCAUCCAAAUGCCCAACUACAUCUGAGUGUUCCUUCUGUUCUUACGAAAUGAAAAGGUAGCCUGACAUACCAGGUGCUCUGGGUCCUGAAGGAGAGGUGGAGUCAGAUCCUCCUGCAAGAAAUCCAUGGAAAGGGGAGCUGCCUCACCCCAUGCAGGAACCAGAGAUACUCCCACAGGGGCAGCUGUAGGAUGGACACUGCCCACCUCCACCCUACACAUCCUGCACAAUCACUCUUUUCACCCCUCCUUCAGCUUAUCAAAGUUGACAUUGACGAAGCCAGCACAGCUCACCCUUGGCAACUGGACUCCUUCAAGCCUCCAUCAACCACACAAUCUCAACAAAAAGAACCUCCCCAAAAUAAUAAUAGUAACAGUAUCUAUGAAAAUGUCUAUGAAAUAUCUCACAAAUAACUUUAGAUUGUGUGCAUGUGUAAAUAUUAUUUUUCACACAUUGGGUUAAAUAGAAUACAUUAUUGAAACUAGUUUACCUUUUUAUUUUUUAUAUCUAAUAUGGUAACUAGACAGUAGGAUUCACAUGAGGCUCACAUCAUGUUGUGACUGUACAAUGCUGGUCUGGUCUUACCCCUUCAGAUGACAGGUGCUUUGGAGUAACCUGCUUCAGCCCCAUCUCCACCUGUAGGACAUAUGUGUGAAGCCAAGGAGAGGCACGGGUGGAAGAGAAAUGAGGACCGGCUGUUUAUGCAGGAGACUGAGUCCUGGAGCCCUGACCUUGCUCUGCCUUAGAUGUGUCACAUCCAUCUCACUUGAGACCACUGCUGGCCUCUCUGAGCUCACAACUGGGGGGAUCUGGCAGUUCUGGCAACAUGGUCGCUUGAUGUCCAGUGUUAUCCUGUCUCUCCCAGGGCCCAGUAAGACAAAAGGAGCUGUUUUAAAAAAGGGAAGUAAUGCUGUACUGCACAUGACAUGGCUUUCUUCCAAAACCCCAGGAGUCUACAUUGGGAUUCUCCAAUGGGGUUUGCCAUGUCCAGGAGGUUUCAGUUCCCACAGUAGAGUCAGCUGGAUUCUCUGGCCCCAACAGCAGGACACUCACAACCCUGCCUGCACCUGCUGCAGAUCCUCAACGCUCUGGGCCUGGAAAACAAUGGGUGAUAUUUAUGGCUCCUGAUAUAUGGGUUGAGCCACAUCCCCAAGUGUAAAAUAUGCUACCACUAGACCUUUAUAGACCUUGUGCCUCUUUCUUCCUGAGGGGAAAUGAAGGGUGUAAUAACAUGUUGUUUAUUUUGUAGGAGAUUCUCAGCUGCUCCAGACAACUAAACUCCCAAUUUCAGCUAAUACGGGGGAGGAAACAUCUUCAUUUAUUUCCCACUCUGAAAACUGCAUGGAUCUCACAAAAGCUUGCAAUAGGCCGUGCCCAUUAUGUACAUGUGAUUCAACUCUGAUGUCCAGAUGGUCUGAGUCCCCAUGAUGAUACCAUGAUAGGGAAUGGAGAGCUAAUGAUGCUGGGCAGAAAAUUGUGAAUGUAUACUGUUGUCCAUCCCACGUGAUUGCGCACUGAUUCUGAUCCUAUUCUCUGAGGGUAAUGGUCAAGACCUCAGUAUCUGCUUCAAUGGUGUAACUGUGCACCUGCAGACACAGCAUUCUGUUCCAGGAGAGCCCCAUCUGGCACAGAUAUUGCAAAUGCCUCUAUUGCCUGUAUGGAUCUGUGCAAACCCAAAUUCAUCCUCCAGGAUCAUUCAACUAUUGUAGAGAUCAGUCCAGUAAACUGAAAACGAGGAUCCCAGAAGUGAUCACAUGUACUUCAGGAGAGAAUAGAGUUGUCUCAGAGGGCACCGUCCUGUUGAAAUUCCUCUGCUCCUUGGGAAGAAACAGCCCAGAAAGGGCCCCAGGGGCUGUGUCUCAUCUGGGUUCCUGGAUAAGGCAUAACUCCUUACUGUAGUGAGAUUUCACAGAAGCUGCGGGUGAAGUGGAAACACCAUCUUUGGUUCAUGAUUGGGAUCUUCUUUUUAUCACACACUCGUCAUUUUGUCCACAAUGUCCAAGUUUCCAAAUAGCUGUCUAAUAGAUAUAGGGGUUCUGUGUGGGCUGAUUAAAGCUCUAGGGUUGGAUAGUGAUGAUGUUUGCAUAUUUUUACUGUACUUAUUACUGCUUAAUUACAUACUUAAGAAUGAUUAAAAGGGUAAAAUAUUUUGUUAUAUUUAUUUUACCAUAAUAAUAAUAUUGCAUACUCUGGAAGCAAAGUAAUACCAGUUUAAUUUUAAAAUUAUACAACUGUUAAAAAUGGAAAGAAUUUUGUACUAAGCACCAUUUUCUCUAUUCUAUAUGCUACAACUCAACUUUAUCUCUCUCUCUCUAAUUAACAAUGAUCUCCUGUCUGGUCCAAGGUCAGACAUUUCCAGUCUUCCAGGAAUGUCUAUUGAUUCUGCUAAUUUGUUGCCAGGAAGAAUCCUCAAACUUCUCAUGCUCAUAUUUGAUUGUCAACUGUCUCAAGCCAGCAUUUCUAAACCAGGAUGCUUUGACAAGACUUGUGAAGAAUUUUGUAAAAAGUACCUCCCAAGAUGGCAGUGUUCACUGUUGUCAGCAGGACUGUUUCCACACAGUAGGGCUAUGCUGGGUGUGCAGAGGAGCCGUGCACACUUUGCCCACGGGGCAGAUUCUAUGCUGCUGACUCUGAUCCCUGUGUUUGGAGGACCAUGUCCACUGCUGAGUCUACAUCUGAAUUUGAUUCUCAAGAAAAAGGUCAUUCAUAGCUGUUGGACACUGAGUCACAUGGAGGGACAGAUGGUGGCUGAGGACACCUUAUCUCUGAUGUGCAUAAGGGGAUUAGAUUUGCUGGUGGAACAGGAAGAUGAAGAAACCUGUGGCACUAAACAUGGAAUUUCCAGCUCUCAGUCUCUGCUGUCCAUGCUCCCUCAGCUGUAUGUUCCUGGGAGAUGUGGACCACGUGUGUUAGAGGUGAAGGGGAUUGGGAAGCCUUCAUGGUCUCUCUCACCAUCUCCCUUGCUUGUCUAACACACUCUUCCACACCUACUUUAUUACAGCUUCUGCUCUACAAGCAUGCCUGACCUCUAAAUUAGAGACUUGUGAAAGUGCGGACAGAUGCAGGAACUCGUCCAUCUGGAGACUUUUCCACCACUUGACCCACUGAACACAUCUCUGCAAGCCUCCGAAUUUCAAGUGACAGGAUUUUGGGAUUUCAAAGAAAACUCAAUCUUUGGAUGAACCACAAUACAAGAGGGAAGCAUCACACGUUUCCCUGCUGCUUGGGCCUCAGUGAGGACUGACUCAGCCUGUCUCAGUGUCCUGGAGACCUCCUAGGAGAUGUGUAUUAGAAAAGUCUUUUCAGUACAAACUGGGGCAGGUAAGGGGCCCCUGCUCUGAUAUUCUGCUCCCUGAUAAUUUGGUUUUCAGAGAAAAACAAAGACCUGUGAUUCCAGGAAGUUCAAAGCCCACAGAUAAGGUCUCCUCAUUCUCCUAUGACAGCCCGAGCUCUGCAUUCCAGAAAUAAAAGAGCAUCUUCCCAGCAUGAAGAGCCAGGAGCAAAGAGCAAGCUUCUCACAGGGGUGAGCAGGACAGAAGCCACCUUGGUCAGUGGGAAGGAAACUUGCUUAGCUCACAUCUGACUCAGAACCACUCAGUCACACCUGUGCAGGGUCACCUGCAUAUGAGCAUCAUUCAUUUGCUGCAGGACUUAAUACCUUGUGUGGCUCUUGGGUAAAAUCUUAGCACAGGUGACAUUUCUCUGCCUAUUGCUUCAACCCAUGUUUUUCAUAAUUCACUGUAGGACGCUUACAUAAGGUAAGCAUGUCAGGUGUGGAAUGUAUUGAAUAGGAAAAGCACAGGCUUCCUUUAUCAAUGCUCAUGUCUUGUAUUCACGACCAUAUCUUAUGGAAAUGGAAAAAACAAACAGAAAAGGGAAUGAUACUCUGCUCAAAAAAGAACUGAGAAAUGCUAUUGUAUAGCUAUGUCUACAACGUACUAGUUGAGCUAAUGGAACAUUAACUUAGAUCAUUUUUAUGGAGGGAUUCCUAAACCUUAAACAUUGUGUGAAAAAUUUUGUCAGGUUGAAAGAUCAUUAAAAGGCCAAAGUUUGAUUAUAA
Long non-coding RNA from Piliocolobus tephrosceles (Ugandan red Colobus), 6175 nucleotides. RefSeq lists it as uncharacterized. The transcript is spliced from 4 exons. The record is from RefSeq and is a predicted model, not a curated record. NCBI's taxonomy places the organism in Eukaryota, Metazoa, Chordata, Mammalia, Primates, Cercopithecidae.